RNAcentral lists this ribosomal RNA (302 nucleotides) under uncultured bacterium. Its description in RNAcentral is "partial 16S ribosomal RNA". It matches the Rfam family "Bacterial small subunit ribosomal RNA", at positions 508 to 807 of the family's 1533-position model. The record is from RNAcentral.
GCAGUCGCCGCGGUAAUACGUAGGGUGCAAGCGUUAAUCGGAAUUACUGGGCGUAAAGCGUGCGCAGGCGGUUUUGUAAGACAGAGGUGAAAUCCCCGGGCUCAACCUGGGAACUGCCUUUGUGACUGCAAGGCUAGAGUACGGCAGAGGGGUAUGGAAUUCCGCGUGUAGCAGUGAAAUGCGUAGAUAUGCGGAGGAACACCGAUGGCGAAGGCAAUCUCCUGGGCCUGUACUGACGCUCAUGCACGAAAGCGUGGGGAGCAAACAGGAUUAGAUACCCCAGUAGUCCCUGUCUCUUAUAC